CGAAGGUCCCAAGCGUUAUCCGGAUUUAUUGGGUUUAAAGGGUGCGUAGGCGGGUUAUUAAGUCAGUGGUGAAAGCCUUCAGCUUAACUGAAGAAUUGCCAUUGAUACUGAUGAUCUUGAGUAUGAUUGAGGUGGGCGGAAUGUGUCAUGUAGCGGUGAAAUGCUUAGAUAUGACACAGAACACCGAUUGCGAAGGCAGCUCACUAAGUCAUAACUGACGCUGAUGCACGAAAGCGUGGGGAGCAAACAGGAUUAGAUACCCUGGUAGUCCACGCCCUAAACGAUGAUCACUCGAUGUGUGCGAUACACUGUACGCGUCUGAGCGAAAGCAUUAAGUGAUCCACCGUGGGGAGUACGACCGCAAGGUUG
Molecule: ribosomal RNA, 369 nt
Filed under: uncultured organism
Description: bacterial SSU rRNA
Rfam family: Bacterial small subunit ribosomal RNA
Source: RNAcentral